This 404-nucleotide ribosomal RNA is filed under the name uncultured prokaryote. RNAcentral's name for it is "bacterial SSU rRNA". It matches the Rfam family "Bacterial small subunit ribosomal RNA", at positions 355 to 776 of the family's 1533-position model. The record is from RNAcentral. RNAcentral also lists the same sequence under 1 other name.
UGGGGAAUAUUGCACAAUGGAGGAAACUCUGAUGCAGCGACGCCGCGUGAGCGAAGAAGUAUUUCGGUAUGUAAAGCUCUAUCAGCAAGGAAGAUAAUGACGGUACUUGACUAAGAAGCCCCGGCUAACUACGUGCCAGCAGCCGCGGUAAUACGUAGGGGGCAAGCGUUAUCCGGAUUUACUGGGUGUAAAGGGAGUGUAGGUGGCAUGGCAAGUCAGAAGUGAAAGCCCGGGGCUCAACCCCGGGACUGCUUUUGAAACUGCCAGGCUGGAGUGCAGGAGAGGUAAGUGGAAUUCCUAGUGUAGCGGUGAAAUGCGUAGAUAUUAGGAGGAACACCAGUGGCGAAGGCGGCUUACUGGACUGUAACUGACACUGAGGCUCGAAAGCGUGGGGAGCAAACAGG